UUCGGGGUGNCAGGCGAUACGGGCAUAACUAGAGUGCUGUAGGGGAGACUGGAAUUCCUGGUGUAGCGGUGGAAUGCGCAGAUAUCAGGAGGANCACCGAUGGCGAAGGCAGGUCUCUGGGCAGUAACUGACGCUGAGGAGCGAAAGCAUGGGGAGCGAACAGGAUUAGAUACCCUGGUAGUCCAUGCUGUAAACGGUGGGCGUUAGGUGUGGGGACCGGUUUGGUUUCUGUGCCGUAGCUAACGCAUUAAGCGCCCCGCCUGGGGAGUACGGCCGCAAGGCUAAAACUCAAAGGAAUUGACGGGGGCCCGCACAAGCGGCGGAGCAUGUGGAUUAAUUCGAUGCAACGCGAGGAACCUUACCUGGGUUUGACAUGCACCAGACGGUUGUAGAGAUACGUACCUCCCUUUGUGGUUGGUGUGCAGGUGGUGCAUGGUUGUCGUCAGCUCGUGUCGUGAGAUGUUGGGUUAAGUCCCGCAACGAGCGCAACCCUUGUCUUAUGUUGCCAGUACUUUGGGUGGGGACUCAUGAGAGACUGCCGGGGUUAACUCGGAGGAAGGUGGGGAUGACGUCAAAUCAUCAUGCCCUUUAUGCCCAGGGCUUCACACAUGCUACAAUGGUUAGUACAACGCGCUGCGAACCUGUGAGGGUGAGCGAAUCGCUGAAAGCUAAUCUCAGUUCGGAUUGGGGUCUGCAACUCGACCCCAUGAAGUCGGAGUCGCUAGUAAUCGCAGAUCAGCAAUGCUGCGGUGAAUACGUUCCCGGGCCUUGUACACACCGCCCGUCACGUCAUGAAAGUUGGUAACACCCGAAGCCCAUGGCCUAA
Molecule: ribosomal RNA, 826 nt
Filed under: uncultured bacterium
Lineage: Bacteria
Description: bacterial SSU rRNA
Rfam family: Bacterial small subunit ribosomal RNA
Source: RNAcentral